GACGUAGGGAGCGAGCGUUGUCCGGAUUCAUUGGGCGUAAAGAGCGCGCAGGCGGUUUGGUAAGUCGGAUGUGAAAACCCGGGGCUCAACCCCGGGCGUGCAUCUCGAUACUGCCCGACUAGAGGUAGGUAGGGGAGAUCGGAAUUCCUGGUGUAGCGGUGAAAUGCGCAGAUAUCAGGAGGAACACCGGUGGCGAAGGCGGAUCUCUGGGCCGUACCUGACGCUGAGGCGCGAAAGCUAGGGGAGCGAACAGG
Molecule: ribosomal RNA, 254 nt
Filed under: uncultured bacterium
Lineage: Bacteria
Description: partial 16S ribosomal RNA
Rfam family: Bacterial small subunit ribosomal RNA
Source: RNAcentral